AUUUAUUUAAGUCUCGGCUGUAAUAUUGCCAGUAUUCUUCUUCUGCUUCCGGCAAUCGCCAUCUUUCUGAUUUACAGACCGUUGCGUAAACAACAUCGUAUACGUCUACAUAUAUCAUUUUUCCUCUCCUUCAUCCUAAGUGACAUCACAGCUAUAUUAUGGGAUGUAGUCGUGACGUAUGAUCGACUGACCAAUGACAGUACGUCUGAGAGUGUUUUGUAUCAAAAUGGGACUGGAUGUAAGGCUUUGUCCUUUUUCCGGAUUUAUUGUAAAUCCACGAAUUACGUCUGGAUGUUCUGUGAGGGCUUUUAUUUGCAUCGCUUAAUCAGUAAUGCUUUUAAACCUCCAAAAUC
Molecule: long non-coding RNA, 353 nt
Organism: Patella vulgata (common limpet)
Lineage: Eukaryota; Metazoa; Mollusca; Gastropoda; Patellidae
Exons: 3
Source: RefSeq, a predicted model, not a curated record